Molecule: long non-coding RNA, 125 nt
Organism: Austrofundulus limnaeus
Lineage: Eukaryota; Metazoa; Chordata; Actinopteri; Cyprinodontiformes; Rivulidae
Exons: 2
Source: RefSeq, a predicted model, not a curated record
GUUCACCCCAGCACGUUCUGCUCCAUCAGGACCCGAGCAACUUCAACCUGUCACUGAAAAUCCGGAUCCGCACCCCUUUUUCUCCUCUGCACCUGUAAAAUAAAGCACUGUUUAUUUAUUUUGAA